Ahaetulla prasina is the source of this 1348-nucleotide RNA transcript. It is a transcript of the gene named galectin-4-like, with no coding region annotated. NCBI's taxonomy places the organism in Eukaryota, Metazoa, Chordata, Lepidosauria, Squamata, Colubridae. The transcript is spliced from 4 exons. The record is from RefSeq and is a predicted model, not a curated record.
GUCACCCUCCUGGGGCGGCCUGACUCAGCGUGCCUUGGUGGGUGUGGGCAGGGCUGCUGAAGGGAAGAUGCUCAGGGUAGUCCCUGACAUCUAUAAAGAGACUGGGCUGUGCUGCCUCCAGCCCAGAGCCGUAGAGAUGGCCGUAGAGUUCGACACUUUUCGCGUGCCUUAUAAUCGGGCUGUCCCGUGGGGCUUCGAUGCGGACUCCUGGAUGAUGCUGGAAGGCCUCAUUCUGAAGCAAAGCAAAGGGUAACUCGGCACCAAUCCCUUUCACUGGACCAACAACUACUUGGAUUUCAUGUGGAAUUUGCUUAUGGGCAAUUCAAUGGGGCCAAUAUCCCUCUGAAAUUCAAACUCCGCUUCGAGAGGACGCCAGCUUCUUCCAACAGCCCCAUCUUGACUGUCAACAGCUUUGUAAAUCAACAGUGGGGGAAAGAGAUCCGGAGAGAGAUGGCAACUCACUUCCAGCAGGGCCAAAAGUUCAAGCUUUCUUUCAUCGCCACCAGCAAAAGUUUCAAGAUAAUGGAGAACGACAUUUUGCUUUCUGAAUUUGACCAUCGCCUUUCACCCAAGGCCAUCCGUUUCCUGGAAGUGGAUGGGGACAUCAAGCUGGAGAAAGUAGUCUUCAGCUGGGAGAGGAACAAUGAAACCAGCAAUCCUAGGUUUGGUGAAGGCUGACAGGAGGCAGAGUCAUGCAGAUCAAACCAUGCAUCCAGGCUAUUUUAUAAGUUGAUUUUGCAGCCAAUGUCGACAGCUAUCCUGCUGUCAUUCUGAGGUGGCAUCAUAAAUCUUAAUACAGCACAUCUUGGGUGGGUCUAAUGUCUGAUGAAUUAAAGGAAACUGUGAUUGUCACUGCUUUUAUUUGGAACGGCAAAAAUAAAUGUUAUUUGGAUUUUCUGGAUCUACUUCAGCCUUCAGGAGUGUCCAAAGGGUGUGGUCAGAAAAGUCAAGGCGACACACACAUUAAAACACGCACAGUUUCAAUUUCCCAUCACCUGAACUUGUUCUUCCUCAUUCACUCCCAGAGCCACCAAAUGAAAAAUUUGAUCUCCUGUCAAACAUCGAUCAUAAAAACAAUACUACUCUUACAUGAACACAACCACUUCUCUCUGGCUUGGCAGCCAUGCUGGUGAGGGAAUUUUGGGAGACGACCAGAUCCUACACUGCUUUACGAUCCAAGUUGAUUGAAAUUCUCCACAUUGUGCUUUUUUCCUCGAACUUAGGAAGAAAUUCCAGGCCCAAGAUGAACCAGGGAAGCAAAACUUUAUACUGAGAAACAUUUAUAAAUGGAUUUUUCCCUAGAAGCUUUUACUGGACCAAUCGUAUUUCAGACAAAUACUGCUAGAAA